AGAGUUUGAUCAUGGCUCAGGACGAACGCUUGCGGCGUGCCUAAGAAAUGCAAGUCGAACGGACAGUAGUAAUACUGUUAGUGGCGAACGGUCGCGUAACACGUAAGAAACCUGCCUCGGAGUGGGGGACAACGGCCCGAAAGGGCCGCUAAUACCGCAUGUACACAAUAUUCGGCAUCGUUUGUUGUGUAAAGCUUUAUGCGCUUCGAGAUGGUCUUGCGGCCUAUCAGGUAGAUGGUGGGGUAACGGCCUACCAUGCCGACGACGGGUAGCUGGUCUGAGAGGACGAUCAGCCGGAUUGGGACUGAGAUACGGCCCAGACUCCUACGGGGGGCAGCAAUUAGGAAUCUUGCGCAAUGGGCGAAAGCCUGACGCAGCGACGCCGCGUGAGGGACGACGGCCUUCGGGUUGUAAACCUCUUUUGCCGGGGAAGAAGAACGUGACGGUACCCGGCGAAUAAGCCCCGGCUAACUACGUGCCAGCAGCCGCGGUAAUACGUAGGGGGCGAGCGUUGUCCGAAGUUACUGGGCGUAAAGCGCGCGUAGGCGGCCUCUUAAGUCCGGGGUGAAAGGUUCAGCGCUCAACGCGAACAGUGCCUUGGAUACUGGGGGGCUUGAAUGUGGCAGAGGAUAGUGGAAUGGCUGGUGUAGCGGUGAAAUGCGUAGAUAUCAGUCGGAACACCCAUGGCGAAGGCAGCUAUCUGGGCUAACAUUGACGCUGAGGUGCGAAAGCGUGGGGAGCGAACGGGAUUAGAUACCCCUGUAGUCC
This 768-nucleotide ribosomal RNA is filed under the name uncultured soil bacterium. RNAcentral's name for it is "bacterial SSU rRNA". It matches the Rfam family "Bacterial small subunit ribosomal RNA", at positions 8 to 796 of the family's 1533-position model. The record is from RNAcentral.